GAUGCUUAUCGAGAAUGGAUGGUGACUCCCUUUGUCAAGAUUUGUUCCGGCUUUAGCCAUUCUUGAUCAUCUUACCAAGACUUGGGAAGCGCUUAGACCGAGAAGCACUCAAAAAUUGUGGACUGCUUCGGUUUGGUUCUAAGGCGCAGUUCCUAAGCACGCGUUUAACAUGUGGAUAAGUCACCUAAAUCGCUUGCCUACGCGUUUAACGUAUGGUUUUCCACAGGUUGUGCUCUCGACAGAAGUUGGUUUGGUCUUGGGCAGAAUUGCUUUCUUGGACCUCACGAUCCUCUUCCUCCGCUCCUUCUCUGCUUAGAAAAGUUGUAGCUCAAUUGUGUGAAUCAGAGAGAACCUCCUCUACAAUCAGAAGCUUUGCUUUUUGCGAAUGGACCUGCAACACUCAACAAUACUUUGGGCCUCAGUCAAAGUGUCAAGCCCAUUAACCUCAAAUCUUCUCUACCUUGCAACGGUAACAAGAUUCCUCAAUUUUCAGCGCAUCAACGUACGGGAUUCACAGCUCAUCAACUGUCCCUUCAUAACAAAUUUCAUCCUCUUUGUUCCUCUGUUGUGAUGUGUAGCUAAUGACGUGUGACCUAUUGUCUCACUAUUUUGGGGUUCAUAUAUAAACCCUUCUCUGUCAUUGUAAACCUUAAGCUGAAAUAUUCAAUAAAGAGAUUUCUCUUCAUCAUCGUUUUAUCAAUACUUUCAAACUGG
Molecule: small RNA, 714 nt
Filed under: Arabidopsis thaliana (thale cress)
Lineage: Eukaryota; Viridiplantae; Streptophyta; Magnoliopsida; Brassicales; Brassicaceae
Description: putative long intergenic non-coding RNA
Source: RNAcentral